CAUUAGCAAAAGUCAUGUUUUAGUGGCUAUUGUGUUUCAUCCAUGCUUUUUGUUUGGGAAAUAUAUCAACAUGGAAAAGAAAACUGGUCUUCAAACCAUCCAUCCAUCAUGUGGUCAUGAGUUAUGUGCUAAAUAUUCAUAAAAAGGAGUGAGAAAAAGACAAAGAGAGAGAGGGUGAGAGGGAGUGAUCCUGUAUCCGUGAUCCUGCUCCUGUGUUGUUCUUCUGGAUUGGAUGUUGUCUGGGCAGACAGCUUGACAAAUGAUACUGUUUGCUUUCAUCGAAUGGAAAAUAGCAGGCUGAACAUUCCUCAGAAUUUCACACAGGUGUGAAACAACAUGAGGAUUGCUUUUAGUGUGAUGGGUGUGGAGCUUUCUGUGAUAAUAAUACUUUCCACCCAAAUGGACUGAUCUUGGGGAAAAAAAAGAUUCAUCUGAUAAAACUAAUGAGGGAC
Cyprinus carpio carpio is the source of this 452-nucleotide long non-coding RNA. The record is from Ensembl. NCBI's taxonomy places the organism in Eukaryota, Metazoa, Chordata, Actinopteri, Cypriniformes, Cyprinidae.